GAGGGUGUAGCUCAGUGGUAGAGCACCUGCUAAGCACGCACCAGGCUGUGGGUUCAAUCCCCAGCAUUCCCC
RNAcentral lists this transfer RNA (72 nucleotides) under Heterocephalus glaber (naked mole-rat). It matches the Rfam family "tRNA". From Rfam's summary of the family: Transfer RNA (tRNA) molecules are approximately 80 nucleotides in length. Lineage: Eukaryota; Metazoa; Chordata; Mammalia; Rodentia; Bathyergidae. The record is from Rfam by way of RNAcentral.